CCUACGGGUGGCAGCCGUGGGGAAUAUUGGGCAAUGGAGGAAACUCUGACCCAGCAACGCCGCGUGAAUGAUGAAGGUCUUCGGAUUGUACACCACUGUCCCCAGGGACGAAGCUGACGGUACCUGGUGAGGCAGCUCCGGCUAACUACGUGCCAGCAGCCGCGGUAAUACGUAGGGAGCGAGCGUUGUCCGGAGUUACUGGGUGUAAAGGGGGCGUAGGCGGGACUGCAAGUUGGGUGUCAAAUCUACCGGCUCAACCGGUAGCCGCACUCAGAACUGCAGUUCUUGAGUGAAGUAGAGGCAGGCGGAAUUCCUAGUGUAGCGGGGAAAUGCGUAGAUAGUAGGAGGAAAACCAGGGGAGAAGGCGGCCUGCUGGGCUUUUACUGACGCUGAGGCUCGAAAGUGGGGGGAGCAAACAGGAUUAGAUACCCUGGUAGUA
Molecule: ribosomal RNA, 439 nt
Filed under: uncultured bacterium
Lineage: Bacteria
Description: partial 16S ribosomal RNA
Rfam family: Bacterial small subunit ribosomal RNA
Source: RNAcentral